This 21-nucleotide microRNA is filed under the name Anolis carolinensis (green anole). RNAcentral's name for it is "aca-miR-15b-5p". Its record names the gene aca-miR-15b-5p. The record is from miRBase by way of RNAcentral. Lineage: Eukaryota; Metazoa; Chordata; Lepidosauria; Squamata; Anolidae.
UAGCAGCACAACAUGGUUUGU